Molecule: ribosomal RNA, 253 nt
Filed under: uncultured bacterium
Lineage: Bacteria
Description: partial 16S ribosomal RNA
Rfam family: Bacterial small subunit ribosomal RNA
Source: RNAcentral
UACGUAGGGGGCAAGCGUUGUCCGGAAUCAUUGGGCGUAAAGAGCGCGUAGGCGGUCCGGUAGGUCCGCUCUGAAAGUCCGGGGCUCAACCCCGGGAGGCGGGCGGAUACUGUCGGGCUAGAGUCCGGAAGAGGCGAGUGGAAUUCCUGGUGUAGCGGUGAAAUGCGCAGAUAUCAGGAGGAACACCAAUGGCGAAGGCAGCUCGCUGGGACGGUACUGACGCUGAGGCGCGAAAGCGUGGGGAGCAAACAGG